Molecule: long non-coding RNA, 1468 nt
Organism: Mus musculus (house mouse)
Lineage: Eukaryota; Metazoa; Chordata; Mammalia; Rodentia; Muridae
Product: predicted gene, 53209
Exons: 1
Source: RefSeq, marked validated
ACUCGGGGCAGCCGCCACCGGUGCGAACCGGUUGAUGAAUGGCGCGGUGUGCUGGCUGGUCCUCGCCACCAAACGCUCCGGUCGCUAGAGCCGCGAGUUCGCCUCAACUUGGAACGCCUCUCCGGCGGGCGGAACCCUGUAGCCCGAGGCCAUAGCUCUGUCGCGCUGGCCAACGGUUUACCUUGGCCCUUGCGCCCGGGGAUCUCCGUCAUCACUCCAUAUUGAUGUCGCAUGACCGCUGGGCGGCUGACUCACCGCUCCAGAGCCCGGCCCUAGUCUGGGACUAGGGAUUCUCGUCACCACGGGCACUUCCACGUGUGGGAAGGCUCUCCGCAGAGAUUAGCCGGUGGAACCCAGGAAAUGUCCCUAUUUUUUUUUUUUUUUUUCUUUCGAGGCACGUGAAGCCUAGUUGCUUCCUAGCCUUUCUUCUUCUCCCCCCACCCCCUUUCUUUUUAGGUUACACCCCUAAACUGCUGAUUCUGGCAACUGCAGUUGGCUCGUUUGUGGCAUUUCGAAAUCACAUGCAUCCUUUGUACUGCUGCUCAUUCUCAGAUAAUGAAAGGUUAGCUUUUGCUAAGGGGAAGCUUUUUUUUUUUCUUUUUCUUUUUAAAUUAAGAAUCUUCGGCUUUAUCAAGGGCUGAUGUAAGUUUUUGCGUCAAAAGCUAAGCUUUCCCCUUUUGUUGAUCUUCAGUCCUGUUCCAGUGUCCUUUUAAUCUAGGCUUCUAAGUGAAGCCUGAGUGCAGCUGUUUCUGAUCAUACAAGGGCAGCUUUUAUCUGAAAACCCUUUCUGCUCGCUUGUCUAGGACAGGUAAACAGGACCUUUACCUGCUUUGGAGAACUCAGCUUUCCAAUAACACUGAGGCCUUUUGUUCCCUGUUUUUCUGCACAUUAGGCCGGAGAAAUCAUAAGUUGUGCUCUCUCUUAUUGUGUACCGAAUUUUGUGAUUUAUUAGCACUUCUAUUUAGAGACUUCCUUGCAUAGUUACUUAAAUGUCUUAUAAACAUGCAAUCUGUAAGCAACGUAAGUACAUUAAAAAAAGGGGGGGGCAGACCUUUAAUAACAGCAACAACAACAACAAAAAGCAACUCAUCGUCAUUAAAAAUUGCUUGGCCAGGGAUCCAUUUAAAGUCAAGAACUUGAAGCAUAGAUCCCUUCACAAAUAGAGGUAAAGUGAGGUAACAAUUAAAUUAUGUAAGUCCUAAGAAAAUGCAGGGAGAUUAAAAGAAAAGUCUUUGAACAGUAAAGUGAAGUUGAGCAGACCAGGAAACUCAACCGAAGACAGAUUGAGUAUUACAGAACUAAAACCUUUCAUAUGACCAGUGACUUUGGGUAAGUGUUACUUAAGCUUUGGAAAAACAUGGGCAGAAUAAUUAGUGACUAGCUUGGCCAACUUGUAUUAAUAACAUACUUAGGCAUAUUAAAUCUGCCUCCCCUAUUCCAAAGGUUGGUCAACACUGUAAAACAAAAA